UUUUUCCUCCAGCCAGCGGUGACGUUAUAGUUAAGCGUCAGGCUUUUCCCAUGAUUCUUUGCUCCAGCUUGUCCCUGACCUCUGUUAGUUGUACGCUGAAAGACGGAUAGAAAUGGUGCCUCCUGUGCAGGUUUCUCCUCUUAUUAAGACGGCCAGGUACUCGGCUCUGCUUGUGGGGAUCAUCUACGGUAAAAAGCGUUAUGAUUACCUGAAGCCUGUAGCGGCAGAGGAGAGGAGGAUCGAGGAGGAGGAGAAGAAAGUGAGGGAGGAACAGGAACGCAUAGCUAAACAGCUGGCUGAGGCAAACGAAGACACGAUCCUGAAGUGAGCGCUCUGGAGUGUGUGCUGUGUUUAUGGACCCGUUCUCUGGGUCUCGCCGUUCUUCUCUUCAUCACACACCUUCCUCUACAUCACUUCCUGCUGUUUUACAAUGAAUAAGUUUUGUGUAUUAGUAAAAUCACGUCACAAUCCAUGA
This is a long non-coding RNA of Ictalurus furcatus (blue catfish), 475 nucleotides long. RefSeq lists it as uncharacterized. The transcript is spliced from 4 exons. NCBI's taxonomy places the organism in Eukaryota, Metazoa, Chordata, Actinopteri, Siluriformes, Ictaluridae. The record is from RefSeq and is a predicted model, not a curated record.